Molecule: long non-coding RNA, 752 nt
Organism: Gallus gallus (chicken)
Lineage: Eukaryota; Metazoa; Chordata; Aves; Galliformes; Phasianidae
Source: Ensembl
CCCCUCACUAUUGCCAAGCGUGGGAGAGAGCCUAACCUCUGCGAGCUGCUGCUACUGUGGCUCUGACCUUCUUCUCCUGGGGCUGCGAGUGCCUCUCAGAGGAGCUGUUAAGCAGGCAGUUUUGCUGGGAGAACGCAGGCGCUGGAGCAGCUCUCACCGAUGCCAGGGGGAGUUUUGUCCUGGAGCACCACUGGACGCGUCAAUCUUAUUAGCUGCCUUAUGCAUGAGUCAAAGCACGAGGGCUGAAGGCUGGAUGUGUUUGUUCUGCAAAUUGGGCUAAUGUUGUGAAGACCAUAAAAGGGGAAGACCCACUAACUUCGAUAUGCAGCAACAUCAGUAGCCUCUGAUUCAUGGAGCCCUUCACCUUCUCACUGAAUCAAGGAGAGAAAAGGUGGUUUUGCCUCCUGCAAGGCUGGCCCUGUGCCAUGUUGCUUCACCCUGAUCACACAGAGCAAGGAGCACAGACUGCCCUUCGUGAGCACCUGCCUACCCUGGAGCAAGCCCUUACAUGUGUAAAUAGCAAUUACUGCAGUAAUGAAGUAUCAGUGUGGAUGCUCCCUGACCUGUUUGGUAUCAGCAAACAAAGCAGAAGACACAUCCUUUCCUUUGGAAGAAGCUGAAGCUUUCCCCUUUCAUGAAUCUGCUGGUCUGAGAAGCUUGUGGGUACUGGCCAGGCACUCCUGCAAGGUCUCCAUGUCAUGAUGCUCCUCAGCUGACUCACCCCAUUCAUCUCUUUGGGAAGUGUGGCUCGG